AUGUCCAUCAUGAACUCCUUCAUCAACGACAUCUUCGAGAAGCUCGUCGGCGAGUCCGCCAAGCUCGCGCGCUACAACAAGAAGCCCACCAUCACCUCUAGGGAGAUUCAAACCUCUGUCCGCCUCGUCCUCCCCGGCGAGCUCGCCAAGCACGCCGUGUCUGAGGGCACCAAGGCUGUCACCAAGUUCACCUCGUCCUAG
Molecule: ribosomal RNA, 201 nt
Filed under: Triticum aestivum (bread wheat)
Lineage: Eukaryota; Viridiplantae; Streptophyta; Magnoliopsida; Poales; Poaceae
Description: partial small subunit ribosomal RNA
Source: RNAcentral